UACGGAGAGUGCAAGCGUUGCUCAGAUUCACUGGGCGUAAAGGGUACGUAGGCGGCUUGUUAAGUCAGGUGUGGAAGCCCACGGCUUACCCGUGGAAGUGCGCUUGAUACUGGCAAGCUUGAGGCGUUGAGGGGUGGGUGGAACACUAGGUGGAGCGGUGAAAUGCGUAGAUAUCUAGUGGAACGCCGGAGGCGAAAGCGACCCACUGGUGACGUCCUGACGCUGAGGUACGAAAGCUGGGGGAGCAAACGGG
This 253-nucleotide ribosomal RNA is filed under the name uncultured bacterium. RNAcentral's name for it is "partial 16S ribosomal RNA". It matches the Rfam family "Bacterial small subunit ribosomal RNA", at positions 524 to 776 of the family's 1533-position model. The record is from RNAcentral.